AAUCCAGAGAUGGAUUUGUGCCUUCGGGAACUGUGAGACAGGUGCUGCAUGGCUGUCGUCAGCUCGUGUUGUGAAAUGUUGGGUUAAAUCCCGCAACGAGCGCAACCCUUAUCCUUUGUUGCCAGCGAUUAGGUCGGGAACUCAAAGGAGACUGCCAGUGAUAAACUGGAGGAAGGUGGGGAUGACGUCAAGUCAUCAUGGCCCUUACGACCAGGGCUACACACGUGCUACAAUGGCGCAUACAAAGAGAAGCGACCUCGC
Molecule: ribosomal RNA, 261 nt
Filed under: Salmonella enterica subsp. enterica serovar Anatum
Lineage: Bacteria; Pseudomonadati; Pseudomonadota; Gammaproteobacteria; Enterobacterales; Enterobacteriaceae
Description: partial 16S ribosomal RNA
Rfam family: Bacterial small subunit ribosomal RNA
Source: RNAcentral